RNAcentral lists this ribosomal RNA (253 nucleotides) under uncultured bacterium. RNAcentral's name for it is "partial 16S ribosomal RNA". It matches the Rfam family "Bacterial small subunit ribosomal RNA", at positions 524 to 776 of the family's 1533-position model. The record is from RNAcentral.
UACAGAGGGUGCGAGCGUUAAUCGGAAUUACUGGGCGUAAAGCGCACGUAGGUGGCGACGUAAGUCGGGUGUGAAAGCCCCGGGCUCAACCUGGGAAUUGCAUUCGAGACUGCAUUGCUGGAGUACGGAAGAGGAAGGCGGAAUUCCCGGUGUAGCGGUGAAAUGCGUAGAUAUCUGGAGGAACAUCGGUGGCGAAGGCGGCAUCCUGGACCGAUAUUGACGCUGAGGCGCGAAAGCCAGGGGAGCAAACGGG